AACUGCAGGACACAUGAACAUCGACAUUUCGAACGCACAUUGCGGUCCUCGGAUACUCGUUCCCGGACCACUCCUGGCUGAGGGUCGUAU
This 90-nucleotide ribosomal RNA is filed under the name Monolepta ephippiata. RNAcentral describes it as "partial 5.8S ribosomal RNA". It matches the Rfam family "5.8S ribosomal RNA", at positions 70 to 154 of the family's 154-position model. Rfam says of the family: 5.8S ribosomal RNA (5.8S rRNA) is a component of the large subunit of the eukaryotic ribosome. Lineage: Eukaryota; Metazoa; Arthropoda; Insecta; Coleoptera; Chrysomelidae. The record is from RNAcentral.